Lathyrus oleraceus (garden pea) is the source of this 655-nucleotide long non-coding RNA. RefSeq lists it as uncharacterized. NCBI's taxonomy places the organism in Eukaryota, Viridiplantae, Streptophyta, Magnoliopsida, Fabales, Fabaceae. The transcript is spliced from 3 exons. The record is from RefSeq and is a predicted model, not a curated record.
GUAUUUGGCAAACUAUUUUUAAAUUAUAAUUUUCAAAAAUUGUUUUGUGUUUUUAACUUUUAAAAACUAAAAAAGUAAAAGAGCUGAAACAUGUUUUUAAUUUUUUAAUUUUGGUUUUUUAAAUUAUAAUUCAAAUAUUAAAACACAAAUGGAAUUGAAAACAAUCUAUUUUAUCCUAUUCUUCUCUCUCUUAGACAAAACCCACACAAUCUUCUCUCUCACACACAAAAGAAAAUGCAACAACGAAAAAGUGGAUCUUCGAUUUUUCACUCAGCACUGAUUCAUAGUUUAUGAUCUUCAAUUUCUUCUUUACAAUUUGUGAUUCGGAUUUUUUAGAGAAGCGACUAAAAAGUGGAAAAAUGGCAAAAAGGAAGAGCAAGAGAAAAAGGGUUGAAGAAGGGAAAAGCUUGAAGUUAAAGGAUUUGCCGGAUUAACUCAGGUAACGAGCAGUGAUUGAGUAGAAGCUAGUGCUUGGAGUCUAGUGUAGUUCCUUAGUGGGUCAUGCUCUGGUAUAUGUAACAUCGGGACGGGAUGUUUUACUUUGUUUUCAUUUUUGGUUGUUGAACAAUUUUACAUGAAAUGUGUUACAUGGUUUGCAUGUUGUUAGAUUUCUAUCCGCUGCGAAUUGUGCAAUGUUUUAUUUUGAUUAAUAAAU